AUAGCGUAUAUUAAAGUUGUUGCAGUUAAAGCGUCCGUAGUUUGAUUUCGUUCUUUCGAGUUAGAUGCAGAUGUACUUUUGUAUUUUCUUGCGCUUACUCUUUUGAACUUGGGAAGAGCUUGGGCAACCUUGUUCUUCCCCGUUACUUUGAGCAAAUUGGAGUGCUCCAACCAGGCUUUAGCUUGAACAGCUCAGCAUGGAAUAACAAGAUAGGACUUUGGUUCUUCUUGUUGGUGUCAUGAACCAAAAGUAAUGGUUGAUAAGGACAUACGGGGGCAUUUGUACUUGCUGGAGAGAGGUGAAAUUCUAAGACCCAGCAAAGACAAACAAGUG
RNAcentral lists this ribosomal RNA (333 nucleotides) under uncultured eukaryote. RNAcentral's name for it is "bacterial SSU rRNA". It matches the Rfam family "Eukaryotic small subunit ribosomal RNA", at positions 594 to 945 of the family's 1831-position model. The record is from RNAcentral.